Molecule: ribosomal RNA, 978 nt
Filed under: uncultured bacterium
Lineage: Bacteria
Description: bacterial SSU rRNA
Rfam family: Bacterial small subunit ribosomal RNA
Source: RNAcentral
UGCAGUCGAACGGUAACGCGAGGAGCUUGCUCCUUGGCGACGAGUGGCGGACGGGUGAGUAAUACUUAGGAAUCUGCCCAGUAGUGGGGGACAACUCGAGGAAACUCGAGCUAAUACCGCAUACGCCCUACGGGGGAAAGCGGAGGAUCUUUCGGGACUUCGCGCUAUUGGAUGAGCCUAAGUCGGAUUAGCUUGUUGGUGGGGUAAAGGCCUACCAAGGCGACGAUCCGUAGCUGGUCUGAGAGGACGAUCAGCCACACUGGGACUGACCGGCCAGACUCUACGGAGCAGCAGUGGGAUAUUGGACAAUGGGGGCAACCCUGAUCCAGCAAUGCCGCGUGUGUGAAGAAGGCCUGCGGGUUGUAAAGCACUUUCAGUAGAGAAGAAAAGCUUACGGUUAAUACCCGUGAGUCUUGACGUAACCUACAGAAGAAGCACCGGCUAACUCCGUGCCAGCAGCCGCGGUAAUACGGAGGGUGCAAGCGUUAAUCGGAAUUACUGGGCGUAAAGCGCGCGUAGGCGGUUUAGUAAGUCGGAUGUGAAAGCCCUGGGCUCAACCUGGGAAUUGCAUUCGAAACUACUGGACUAGAGUAUGGUAGAGGGAAGUGGAAUUUCCGGUGUAGCGGUGAAAUGCGUAGAUAUCGGAAGGAACACCAGUGGCGAAGGCGACUUCCUGGGCCAAUACUGACGCUGAGGUGCGAAAGCGUGGGGAGCAAACAGGAUUAGAUACCCGUAGUCCACGCGUAAACGAUAGAACUAAUGUUGAGGGUACCUCGGUUCGCAGCUAACGCGUUAAGUUCUCCGCCUGGGGAGUACGCCGGCAACGGUAAAACUCAAAGGAAUUGACGGGGACCCGCACAAGCGGUGGAGCAUGUGGUUUAAUUCGAUGCAACGCGAGAACCUUACCUGCCCUUGACAUACUCGGAACUUUCCAGAGAUGGAUUGGUGCCUUCGGGAAUCGAGAUACAGGUGCUGCAU